This 583-nucleotide ribosomal RNA is filed under the name Salmonella enterica subsp. enterica serovar Infantis. RNAcentral's name for it is "partial 23S ribosomal RNA". It matches the Rfam family "Bacterial large subunit ribosomal RNA", at positions 711 to 1290 of the family's 2925-position model. The record is from RNAcentral. Lineage: Bacteria; Pseudomonadati; Pseudomonadota; Gammaproteobacteria; Enterobacterales; Enterobacteriaceae.
AGACCCGAAACCCGGUGAUCUAGCCAUGGGCAGGUUGAAGGUUGGGUAACACUAACUGGAGGACCGAACCGACUAAUGUUGAAAAAUUAGCGGAUGACCUGUGGCUGGGGGUGAAAGGCCAAUCAAACCGGGAGAUAGCUGGUUCUCCCCGAAAGCUAUUUAGGUAGCGCCUCGUGAAUUCAUCUCCGGGGGUAGAGCACUGUUUCGGCUAGGGGGCCAUCCCGGCUUACCAACCCGAUGCAAACUGCGAAUACCGGAGAAUGUUAUCACGGGAGACACACGGCGGGUGCUAACGUCCGUCGUGAAGAGGGAAACAACCCAGACCGCCAGCUAAGGUCCCAAAGUCAUGGUUAAGUGGGAAACGAUGUGGGAAGGCCCAGACAGCCAGGAUGUUGGCUUAGAAGCAGCCAUCAUUUAAAGAAAGCGUAAUAGCUCACUGGUCGAGUCGGCCUGCGCGGAAGAUGUAACGGGGCUAAACCAUGCACCGAAGCUGCGGCAGCGACACUCAGGUGUUGUUGGGUAGGGGAGCGUUCUGUAAGCCUGUGAAGGUGUGUCGUGAGGCAUGCUGGAGGUAUCAGAAGUG